UAAACGACUCUCGGCAACGGAUAUCUCGGCUCUUGCACCGAUGAAGAACGUAGCGAAAUGCGAUACUUGGUGUGAAUUGCAGAAUCCCGUGAACCAUCGAGUCUUUGAACGCAAGUUGCGCCUGAAGCCAUUAGGUUGAAGGCACGUCUGCCUGGGCGUCACGC
Molecule: ribosomal RNA, 164 nt
Filed under: Rhododendron longifalcatum
Lineage: Eukaryota; Viridiplantae; Streptophyta; Magnoliopsida; Ericales; Ericaceae
Description: 5.8S ribosomal RNA
Rfam family: 5.8S ribosomal RNA
About the family: 5.8S ribosomal RNA (5.8S rRNA) is a component of the large subunit of the eukaryotic ribosome. It is transcribed by RNA polymerase I as part of the 45S precursor that also contains 18S and 28S rRNA. Functionally, it is thought that 5.8S rRNA may be involved in ribosome translocation.
Source: RNAcentral